This 301-nucleotide ribosomal RNA is filed under the name uncultured bacterium. RNAcentral describes it as "partial 16S ribosomal RNA". It matches the Rfam family "Bacterial small subunit ribosomal RNA", at positions 509 to 809 of the family's 1533-position model. The record is from RNAcentral.
CAGCCGCCGCGGUAAUACGGAGGGUGCAAGCGUUAAUCGGAAUUACUGGGCGUAAAGCGUGCGCAGGCGGUUAUGUAAGACAGUUGUGAAAUCCCCGGGCUCAACCUGGGAACUGCAUCUGUGACUGCAUAGCUAGAGUACGGUAGAGGGGGAUGGAAUUCCGCGUGUAGCAGUGAAAUGCGUAGAUAUGCGGAGGAACACCGAUGGCGAAGGCAGCCCCCUGGGCCAACACUGACGCUCAUGCACGAAAGCGUGGGGAGCAAACAGGAUUAGAUACCCCCGUAGUCCCUGUCUCUUAUAA